This 466-nucleotide ribosomal RNA is filed under the name uncultured bacterium. RNAcentral describes it as "partial 16S ribosomal RNA". It matches the Rfam family "Bacterial small subunit ribosomal RNA", at positions 28 to 507 of the family's 1533-position model. The record is from RNAcentral.
GAGGAACGCUGGCGGCGUGCUUAACACAUGCAAGUCGAACGGAAAGGCCCAAGCUUGCUUGGGUCCUCGAGUGGCGAACGGGUGAGUAACACGUGGGUGAUCUGCCCUGCACUUCGGGAUAAGCCUGGGAAACUGGGUCUAAUACCGGAUAGGACCACAUUUUGGAUGGUGUGGUGGAAAGUUUUUCGGUGUGGGAGGAGCUCGCGGCCGAUCAGCUUGUUGGUGGGGUAAUGGCCUACCAAGGCGUCGACGGGUAGCCGGCCUGAGAGGGUGUACGGCCCCAUUGGGACUGGGUGACGGCCCCGCCUCCUCCGGGGUCCCCCCGUGCCUCGUCUUGCUCCCUGGGCGCCCGCCUGCUGCAGCGACGCCGCGUGGGGGAGGACGGCCUUCGGGUUGUAACCUCCUUUCGCUCGGGCCGCCGCGUUCUGUGCCGGUCCCUGUCGCCGACGCCCCGGCUCCCUCCGUG